Molecule: long non-coding RNA, 2004 nt
Filed under: Dermacentor andersoni
Lineage: Eukaryota; Metazoa; Arthropoda; Arachnida; Ixodida; Ixodidae
Description: uncharacterized LOC126525894
Source: RNAcentral
GUCUAGAUAUGGGAGAUGUGAUGACCGCGGCGCCCUUCCCAUAGAGAGGGGUGACCCCCUGGCGCGUGACUGCCGCUAGGGCAAUACAGAGCGCUGCGGCCCGGGGCGCCGUGUGCAUUUCCGCGGAGACUGCGCAGAGAAGGCAGCGAGUCCGGCUAGACAGCGCCUGGGCGCCGCUUGUUCACGGUGUGUUUUGCUGCAGAUUGUUACGUGUGCUGCUUAUUUAUAACUGCUGUGGGCUGUCGAACAUGCCUUCAACUUCAAAGAAAAAAACUCAGAGGUGGUGCUUCGUGCCAGGGUGCGAUUCCGGAUAUAAAUCUUGUUCGGAAAAAGUGUCCCUUUUCCGUGCGCCGACUUGCCAAGAACUGUUUUUGAAGUGGACGCGUGCCAUUCCAAGGGCCGACAAACCGCUGCAGGAGAAUUCAGCUGUUUGUGCGAAGCACUUUGACACAAGGUAUGUAGUUCUAGCAUUUUAGCGUAUGUAUAGUCGGCCAAAUCUUUAGCUAGCUCACCUAAAUUCUGUUGUUUUUUUACGCUUUCCAGCGCGUUCCGACGGAACGAACUUGCGGAACGGUCUAUGGUAACUCGUGCUUACAAAGCUCGCGAAGAUAGUACAGUCAUUUGUUAGGUGCUGGCGCACAGCAAGUCACCGCUCGCGCACGCUAGUUAGAGAUUUGGGCGGCUAUACCUUACCGCUUUUAAAACACGUGGCACAAGCACAAACAAUGCCCUACAGCUGAAGUACGAGCUUAUGGCGUGUUGCACAUAUUUCAUUUUUAUUCGCAUUCUGAUGACUGGAGUCCUUCCAAGCGCUGAUUCAUACCAUCUUUCAUCUCUCUUGGCAGGUACAUCCAAAGAGAGUUCCGACACACUGUGAACGGCAUUGAGGUCGUAAUACCGCGCGACGUCCCGGUUUUAAGAGACGAUGCAGUGCCGACCCUGUUUCCGAAUCUGCCGAAGUACAUUUCAAAAACGUUGCCAAAGGAAAGAAAGAGGCGGGGAAGUGGUUCACGAAAUUCUGUACCUCCGAAGAAGACGUGCACAGAACUAGAAGCAUCAGCAUGCUCGCAGGAAGAUGGGACAGCAGAUGUGGAGGAAGCGGCCAGAGAUGCACCUACCGAGCACUUUAUUUAUAACUUGCGACACUCAUCAGAACACUGGUGUAUCCAAACAUUCAGGAGCAAAAAUGCAGUUUCCUACCAAACAGCAGAAUAUGUCAGCAGCGAGAUUCCACCUGUUAUUUUUCAGAAAAUUGUUUUGUUCGAACUGCAGGAAGAAAAAGCGCCUGUGAAGUGCAGCAUUUUCCUCUCAGGCUUCUUGCAUUGUCGACGUGACAUUCAGUCGAAAAAAGAAGCGCAGGAAGUACUCUUCUGUACAGCGAAUCUCCGAGUUUGUUGUGGUGUCGGGAAGAUGCAAGAGUUCCAGCAAGUGAACCUGUCCGAUGUCACGAAAUCAAUAGGUCUAAGUCUGCAUGCCAGUUCCUGCGAUGGAUCUGUUUCACAGGGUGUAUCCAUUCAUUCUGCCCAACAGUGCUCUGCUUGCAAGAGAGUAAGAAAAGUUGCAUUGAUGCGCAUGCUACGACUAAAGAAUAAAGCACGUCGGCCACUUCUGCACACUGCAAGAAAAAGACUCAGAUAUGCUGUGCGUACCUUGAGACGCCGAAACAAGGAGGUACAGGUCCUGCGUAGUAACCUUGAAAGGCUCCAAGAAGAAAGUUCUGCAACAGAGGCGACUGUCCUUGAAAAAAAGAUCUGUCAGCUCCCCAAAAAACAGCAGAAUGCUGUGCGAACCUGCUUUGAAGCCUCCAAACGACGGUCCCUCCAUGGGUACAAAUAUUGUAAAGAGUGGCUUUUAGAGUGCAUUAUUCUCAGAAUGAAGAGCUCUCGUUUAUAUGAGCAUUUGAGGUGCCACCAAAUCCUAGCACUCCCCAGUCGUGCUUGCCUACAGAAAUGUAUAAAGGUUUGUGUCGUGUUUCAAUUUAAUGCAGAAGCUACUAAAGUUCUU